GCGCCUGGGCGGAGGCUACACAUGCAAGUCGAGCGGUAGCACAGAGAGCUUGCUCUCGGGUGACGAGCGGCGGACGGGUGAGUAAUGUCUGGGAAACUGCCUGAUGGAGGGGGAUAACUACUGGAAACGGUAGCUAAUACCGCAUAAUGUCGCAAGACCAAAGUGGGGGACCUUCGGGCCUCAUGCCAUCAGAUGUGCCCAGAUGGGAUUAGCUAGUAGGUGGGGUAACGGCUCACCUAGGCGACGAUCCCUAGCUGGUCUGAGAGGAUGACCAGCCACACUGGAACUGAGACACGGUCCAGACUCCUACGGGAGGCAGCAGUGGGGAAUAUUGCACAAUGGGCGCAAGCCUGAUGCAGCCAUGCCGCGUGUGUGAAGAAGGCCUUCGGGUUGUAAAGCACUUUCAGCGGGGAGGAAGGCGUUGAGGUUAAUAACCUUGGCGAUUGACGUUACCCGCAGAAGAAGCACCGGCUAACUCCGUGCCAGCAGCCGCGGUAAUACGGAGGGUGCAAGCGUUAAUCGGAAUUACUGGGCGUAAAGCGCACGCAGGCGGUCUGUCAAGUCGGAUGUGAAAUCCCCGGGCUCAACCUGGGAACUGCAUUCGAAACUGGCAGGCUAGAGUCUUGUAGAGGGGGGUAGAAUUCCAGGUGUAGCGGUGAAAUGCGUAGAGAUCUGGAGGAAUACCGGUGGCGAAGGCGGCCCCCUGGACAAAGACUGACGCUCAGGUGCGAAAGCGUGGGGAGCAAACAGGAUUAGAUACCCUGGUAGUCCACGCCGUAAACGAUGUCGAUUUGGAGGUUGUGCCCUUGAGGCGUGGCUUCCGGAGCUAACGCGUUAAAUCGACCGCCUGGGGAGUACGGCCGCAAGGUUAAAACUCAAAUGAAUUGACGGGGGCCCGCACAAGCGGUGGAGCAUGUGGUUUAAUUCGAUGCAACGCGAAGAACCUUACCUGGUCUUGACAUCCACAGAACUUUCCAGAGAUGGAUUGGUGCCUUCGGGAACUGUGAGACAGGUGCUGCAUGGCUGUCGUCAGCUCGUGUUGUGAAAUGUUGGGGUUAAGUCCCGCAACGAGCGCAACCCUUAAUCCUUUGUUGCCAGCGGUCCGGCCGGGGAACUCAAAGGAGACUGCCAGUGAUAAACUGGAAGGAAGGUGGGGGAUGACGUCAAGUCAUCAUGGCCCCUUACGACCAGGGGCUACCACCGUGGCUACAAUGGCCAUUAACAAAGAGAACCAACCUCCGCGAAAGCAAGCGGAACUCCUAAAGUAUGUCCUAAUCCGGAAUGGGAAUUUGGAACUUCGACUCCCUGGAAGUCCGGAAUCCCUAGAAAUCGGAAAAUCAAAAAGUUCACGGGGAAAUAAUUUCCGGGGCCUUUGAAACACCC
This 1383-nucleotide ribosomal RNA is filed under the name Klebsiella pneumoniae. RNAcentral describes it as "bacterial SSU rRNA". It matches the Rfam family "Bacterial small subunit ribosomal RNA", at positions 33 to 1392 of the family's 1533-position model. The record is from RNAcentral. Lineage: Bacteria; Pseudomonadati; Pseudomonadota; Gammaproteobacteria; Enterobacterales; Enterobacteriaceae.